AUCUGGGUGGCUCAGUGGUUGAGCACCUGCCUUCAGCUCAGGUUGUGAUCCCCAGAUC
Molecule: transfer RNA, 58 nt
Filed under: Canis lupus familiaris (dog)
Lineage: Eukaryota; Metazoa; Chordata; Mammalia; Carnivora; Canidae
Also listed under: 1 other name
Source: Rfam by way of RNAcentral